UAAGGAAUAUUGGUCAAUGGACGCAAGUCUGAACCAGCCAUGCCGCGUGAAGGAUGAAGGUCCUCUGGAUUGUAAACUUCUUUUAUCUGGGACGAAAACGGGAUUUUUAUCUCAAUUGACGGUACCAGAGGAAUAAGCACCGGCUAACUCCGUGCCAGCAGCCGCGGUAAUACGGAGGGUGCGAGCGUUAUCCGGAUUUACUGGGUUUAAAGGGUGCGUAGGUGGGUUGCCAAGUCCGUGGUGAAAUCUCUGAGCUUAACUCAGAAACUGCCGUGGAUACUGGUGAUCUUGAAUAUCGUUGAGGUAAGCGGAAUAUGUCAUGUAGCGGUGAAAUGCUUAGAUAUGACAUAGAACACCGAUAGCGGAGGCAGCUUACUAAGCGAUCAUUGACGCUGAGGCACGAAAGCGUGGGGAGCAAACA
Molecule: ribosomal RNA, 421 nt
Filed under: uncultured bacterium
Lineage: Bacteria
Description: bacterial SSU rRNA
Rfam family: Bacterial small subunit ribosomal RNA
Source: RNAcentral